This 700-nucleotide ribosomal RNA is filed under the name uncultured bacterium. Its description in RNAcentral is "bacterial SSU rRNA". It matches the Rfam family "Bacterial small subunit ribosomal RNA", at positions 57 to 753 of the family's 1533-position model. The record is from RNAcentral.
GCAGUCGAACGGUAACGCGGGGCAACCUGGCGACGAGUGGCGAACGGGUGAGUAAUAUAUCGGAACGUGCCCAGUUGUGGGGGAUAACUACUCGAAAGAGUGGCUAAUACCGCAUGAGACCUGAGGGUGAAAGCGGGGGACUCGCAAGAGCCUCGCGCAGUUGGAGCGGCCGAUAUCAGAUUAGCUAGUUGGCGGGGUAAAAGCCCACCAAGGCAACGAUCUGUAGCUGGUCUGAGAGGACGACCAGCCACACUGGGACUGAGACACGGCCCAGACUCCUACGGGAGGCAGCAGUGGGGAAUUUUGGACAAUGGACGCAAGUCUGAUCCAGCCAUGCCGCGUGCGGGAAGAAGGCCUUCGGGUUGUAAACCGCUUUUGUCAGGGAAGAAACGGCUCGGGUUAAUACCUUGGGCUAAUGACGGUACCUGAAGAAUAAGCACCGGCUAACUACGUGCCAGCAGCCGCGGUAAUACGUAGGGUGCAAGCGUUAAUCGGAAUUACUGGGCGUAAAGCGUGCGCAGGCGGUUAUGCAAGACAGAUGUGAAAUCCCCGGGCUCAACCUGGGAACUGCAUUUGUGACUGCAUGGCUAGAGUACGGUAGAGGGGGAUGGAAUUCCGCGUGUAGCAGUGAAAUGCGUAGAUAUGCGGAGGAACACCGAUGGCGAAGGCAAUCCCCUGGACCUGUACUGACGCUCAUGCA